GACGAACGCUGGCGGCGUGCCUAAUACAUGCGAGUCGAACGCUGAAGGAGGAGCUUGCUUCUCUGGAUGAGUUGCGAACGGGUGAGUAACGCGUAGGUAACCUGCCUGGUAGCGGGGGAUAACUAUUGGAAACGAUAGCUAAUACCGCAUAAGAGUAGAUGUUGCAUGACAUUUGCUUAAAAGGUGCAAUUGCAUCACUACCAGAUGGACCUGCGUUGUAUUAGCUAGUUGGUGAGGUAACGGCUCACCAAGGCGACGAUACAUAGCCGACCUGAGAGGGUGAUCGGCCACACUGCGACUGAGACACGGCCCAGACUCCUACGGGAGGCAGCAGUAGGGAAUCUUCGGCAAGGGACGGAAGUCUGACCGAGCAACGCCGCGUGAGUGAAGAAGGUUUUCGGAUCGUAAAGCUCUGUUGUAAGAGAAGAACGAGUGUGAGAGUGGAAAGUUCACACUGUGACGGUAUCUUACCAGAAAGGGACGGCUAACUACGUG
Molecule: ribosomal RNA, 495 nt
Filed under: uncultured bacterium
Lineage: Bacteria
Description: partial 16S ribosomal RNA
Rfam family: Bacterial small subunit ribosomal RNA
Source: RNAcentral